GCUGGGUGUGGUGGCACACGCCUGUAUUCUCAGCAGCUCGGGAGGCUGAGGCAGGAAGAUCAUGAGUUCAAAGCUAGCCUCAGCAAAAGUGAGUGCUAAGAAACUCAGUGAGACCCUGUCUCUA
This 124-nucleotide small RNA is filed under the name Marmota monax (woodchuck). The record is from RNAcentral. Lineage: Eukaryota; Metazoa; Chordata; Mammalia; Rodentia; Sciuridae.